GAUGAACGCUGGCGGCGUGCCUAAUACAUGCAAGUCGAACGCAUUGAGAAAAGUGCUUGCACUUUUCAAUUUGAGUGGCGAACGGGUGAGUAACACGUGGGCAACCUACCUGAUAGCGGGGGAUAACGAGUGGAAACAUUCGCUAAUACCGCAUAACAAUAGAGAAGGCAUCUUCUUUAUUUAAAAGGCGCUUUCAAGCGUCACUAUCAGAUGGGCCCGCGGUGCAUUAGUUAGUUGGUGGGGUGAAGGCCUACCAAGACGAUGAUGCAUAGCCGAGUUGAGAGACUGAUCGGCCCCAUUGGGACUGAGAAACGGCCCAAACUCCUACGGGAGGCUGCAGUAGGGAAUCUUCCACAAUGGACGAAAGUCUGAUGGAGCAACGCCGCGUGUGUGAUGAAGGCUUUCGGGUCGUAAAGCACUGUUGUAUGGGAAGAGAUGCUAGGCUAGGAAAUGAGCUUAGUUUGACGGUACCAUACCAGAAAGGGACGGCUAAAUACGUGCCAGCAGCCGCCGCGG
Molecule: ribosomal RNA, 516 nt
Filed under: uncultured bacterium
Lineage: Bacteria
Description: partial 16S ribosomal RNA
Rfam family: Bacterial small subunit ribosomal RNA
Source: RNAcentral